This 1065-nucleotide ribosomal RNA is filed under the name Nocardioidaceae bacterium. Its description in RNAcentral is "bacterial SSU rRNA". It matches the Rfam family "Bacterial small subunit ribosomal RNA", at positions 310 to 1388 of the family's 1533-position model. The record is from RNAcentral. Lineage: Bacteria; Bacillati; Actinomycetota; Actinomycetes; Propionibacteriales; Nocardioidaceae.
CCCUUGGGACUGAGACACGGCCCCAGACUCCUACGGGAGGCAGCAGUGGGGAAUAUUGGACAAUGGGCGGAAGCCUGAUCCAGCAACCCGCGUGAGGGAUGACGGCCUUCGGGUUGUAAACCUCUUUCAGUAGGGACGGAAGCGCAAGUGACGGUACCUACAGAAGAAGGACCGGCCAACUACGUGCCAGCAGCCGCGGUAAACGUAGGGUCCGAGCGUUGUCCGGAAUUAUUGGGCGUAAAGGCUCGUAGGCGGUUUGUCGCGUCGGGAGUUGAAAACUUGGGGCUUAACCCCAUUCGUGCUUCCGAUACGGGCAGACUAGAGGCAGGCAGGGGAGAACGGAAUUCCUGGUGUAGCGGUGGAAUGCGCAGAUAUCAGGAGGAACACCGGUGGCGAAGGCGGUUCUCUGGGCCUGUUCUGACGCUGAGGAGCGAAAGCAUGGGGAGCGAACAGGAUUAGAUACCCUGGUAGUCCAUGCCGUAAACGUUGGGCGCUAGGUUGGGGAUCCAUUCACGGGUUCCGUGCCGCAGCUAAACGCAUUAAGCGCCCCGCCUGGGGAGUACGGCCGCAAGGCUAAAACUCAAAGGAAUUGACGGGGGCCCGCACAAGCGGCGGAGCAUGCUGAUUAAUUCGAUGCAACGCGAAGAACCUUACUGGGUUUGACAUACGCCAGAAGCCUGCAGAGAUGUGGGUCUCUUUGGACACUGGUGUACAGGUGGUGCAUGGCUGUCGUAGCUCGUGUCGUGAGAUGUUGGGUUAAGUCCCGCAACGAGCGCAACCCUUGUCCUAUGUUGCCAGCACGUAGUGGUGGGGACUCAUAGAGACUGCCGGGGUCAACUCGGAGGAAGGUGGGGAUGACGUCAAGUCAUCAUGCCCCUUAUGUUCCAGGGCUUCAAGCAUGCUAAAUGGCCGGUACAAAGGGCUGCGAAACUGCAAGGUGGAGCGAAUCCCAAAAAGCCGGUCUCAGUUCGGAUUGGGGUCUGCAACUCGACCCCAUGAAGUCGGAGUCGCUAGUAAUCGCAGAUCAGCAACGCUGCGGUGAAUACGUUCCCGGGCCUUGGGGAA